CUUAGAGCUGGGCAAUAUAUUGAUAUUAUAUCGAUGUUAUGAUACGAGACUAGAUUUUGUCAAAGAUUUUGGAUAUCGUAAUAUUGUAAUAUGGUGAAAAGUGUAGUCUUUUCCUGGUUUUGAAGGCAGCAUUACAGUAAAAGGAUGUCAUUUUCUGAACUUUCCAGACUGUUAUAACUGUUCUAUUAUUUGUCUUUACCCACUUAGUCAUUAUAUCCACAUUACUGAUGAUUGUUUAUCAAAAAUCCCAUUGUGUAAUUAUUUUGUGAAAGCAACAGUAGUCAACACUACAAUAUCCUUGCGGUAUCGAUAUCAAGGUUAUUGGUCAAAAAUAUUGUGAUAAUUGAUUUUCUCCGUAUCGCCCAGCCUUACUUAGAGGCACUAUAUU
This is a long non-coding RNA of Etheostoma spectabile (orangethroat darter), 388 nucleotides long. RefSeq lists it as uncharacterized. The record is from RefSeq and is a predicted model, not a curated record. The transcript is spliced from 3 exons. Lineage: Eukaryota; Metazoa; Chordata; Actinopteri; Perciformes; Percidae.